Molecule: ribosomal RNA, 432 nt
Filed under: uncultured bacterium
Lineage: Bacteria
Description: partial 16S ribosomal RNA
Rfam family: Bacterial small subunit ribosomal RNA
Source: RNAcentral
AACGAACGCUGGCGGCAUGCCUAACACAUGCAAGUCGAACGAGACCUUCGGGUCUAGUGGCGCACGGGUGCGUAACGCGUGGGAACCUGCCCUUAGGUUCGGAAUAACUCCCCGAAAGGGGUGCUAAUACCGGAUAAUGUCUUCGGACCAAAGAUUUAUCGCCUUUGGAUGGGCCCGCGUUGGAUUAGCUAGUUGGUAGGGUAAAAGCCUACCAAGGCGACGAUCCAUAGCUGGUCUGAGAGGAUGAUCAGCCACACUGGGACUGAGACACGGCCCAGACUCCUACGGGAGGCAGCAGUGGGGAAUAUGGGACAAUGGGCGAAAGCCUGAUCCAGCAAUGCCGCGUGAGUGAUGAAGGCCUUAGGGUGGUAAAGCUCUUUUACCCGGGAUGAUAAUGACAGUACCGGGAGAAUAAGCUCCGGCUAACUCCGU